RNAcentral lists this ribosomal RNA (2925 nucleotides) under Leclercia sp. W17. Its description in RNAcentral is "bacterial LSU rRNA". It matches the Rfam family "Bacterial large subunit ribosomal RNA". The record is from RNAcentral. Lineage: Bacteria; Pseudomonadati; Pseudomonadota; Gammaproteobacteria; Enterobacterales; Enterobacteriaceae.
GGGUUGUGAGGUUAAGCGACUAAGCGUACACGGUGGAUGCCCUGGCAGUCAGAGGCGAUGAAGGACGUGCUAAUCUGCGAAAAGCGCCGGCGAGGUGAUAUGAACCCUUGACCCGGCGAUGUCCGAAUGGGGAAACCCAGUGUGAUUCGUCACACUAUCGUUAGCUGAAUACAUAGGUUAACGAGGCGAACCGGGGGAACUGAAACAUCUAAGUACCCCGAGGAAAAGAAAUCAACCGAGAUUCCCCCAGUAGCGGCGAGCGAACGGGGAGCAGCCCGGAGUCUGAAUCAGCUUGUGUGUUAGUGGAAGCGUCUGGAAAGUCGCAGGGUACAGGGUGAUACUCCCGUACACGAAAGCACACUUGCUGUGAACUCGAAGAGUAGGGCGGGACACGUGGUAUCCUGUCUGAAUAUGGGGGGACCAUCCUCCAAGGCUAAAUACUCCUGACUGACCGAUAGUGAACCAGUACCGUGAGGGAAAGGCGAAAAGAACCCCGGCGAGGGGAGUGAAAAAGAACCUGAAACCGUGUACGUACAAGCAGUGGGAGCACCUUCGGGUGUGACUGCGUACCUUUUGUAUAAUGGGUCAGCGACUUAUAUUCUGUAGCAAGGUUAACCGUAUAGGGGAGCCGAAGGGAAACCGAGUCUUAACUGGGCGUUAAGUUGCAGGGUAUAGACCCGAAACCCGGUGAUCUAGCCAUGGGCAGGUUGAAGGUUGGGUAACACUAACUGGAGGACCGAACCGACUAAUGUUGAAAAAUUAGCGGAUGACCUGUGGCUGGGGGUGAAAGGCCAAUCAAACCGGGAGAUAGCUGGUUCUCCCGAAAGCUAUUUAGGUAGCGCCUCGUGAAUUCAUCUCCGGGGGUAGAGCACUGUUUCGGCUAGGGGGCCAUCCCGGCUUACCAACCCGAUGCAAACUGCGAAUACCGGAGAAUGUUAUCACGGGAGACACACGGCGGGUGCUAACGUCCGUCGUGAAGAGGGAAACAACCCAGACCGCCAGCUAAGGUCCCAAAGUCAUGGUUAAGUGGGAAACGAUGUGGGAAGGCACAGACAGCCAGGAUGUUGGCUUAGAAGCAGCCAUCAUUUAAAGAAAGCGUAAUAGCUCACUGGUCGAGUCGGCCUGCGCGGAAGAUGUAACGGGGCUAAACCAUGCACCGAAGCUGCGGCAGCGACACUAUGUGUUGUUGGGUAGGGGAGCGUUCUGUAAGCCUGCGAAGGUGUGCCGUGAGGCAUGCUGGAGGUAUCAGAAGUGCGAAUGCUGACAUAAGUAACGAUAAAGCGGGUGAAAAGCCCGCUCGCCGGAAGACCAAGGGUUCCUGUCCAACGUUAAUCGGGGCAGGGUGAGUCGACCCCUAAGGCGAGGCCGAAAGGCGUAGUCGAUGGGAAACAGGUUAAUAUUCCUGUACUCGGUGUUACUGCGAAGGGGGACGGAGAAGGCUAUGUUGGCCGGGCGACGGUUGUCCCGGUUUAAGCAUGUAGGCGGAGGUUCCAGGUAAAUCCGGUACCUUUUAACGCUGAGGUGUGAUGACGAGGCACUACGGUGCUGAAGCAACAAAUGCCCUGCUUCCAGGAAAAGCCUCUAAGCAUCAGGUAACAUCAAAUCGUACCCCAAACCGACACAGGUGGUCAGGUAGAGAAUACCAAGGCGCUUGAGAGAACUCGGGUGAAGGAACUAGGCAAAAUGGUGCCGUAACUUCGGGAGAAGGCACGCUGAUAUGUAGGUGAAGCCCCUGCGGGUGGAGCUGAAAUCAGUCGAAGAUACCAGCUGGCUGCAACUGUUUAUUAAAAACACAGCACUGUGCAAACACGAAAGUGGACGUAUACGGUGUGACGCCUGCCCGGUGCCGGAAGGUUAAUUGAUGGGGUUAGCGGCAACGCGAAGCUCUUGAUCGAAGCCCCGGUAAACGGCGGCCGUAACUAUAACGGUCCUAAGGUAGCGAAAUUCCUUGUCGGGUAAGUUCCGACCUGCACGAAUGGCGUAAUGAUGGCCAGGCUGUCUCCACCCGAGACUCAGUGAAAUUGAAAUCGCUGUGAAGAUGCAGUGUACCCGCGGCAAGACGGAAAGACCCGUGAACCUUUACUAUAGCUUGACACUGAACACUGGUCCUUGAUGUGUAGGAUAGGUGGGAGGCUUUGAAGUGUGGACGCCAGUCUGCAUGGAGCCGUCCUUGAAAUACCACCCUUUAAUGGCUGGUGUUCUAACGUGGACCCGUAAUCCGGGUUGCGGACAGUGUCUGGUGGGUAGUUUGACUGGGGCGGUCUCCUCCUAAAGAGUAACGGAGGAGCACGAAGGUCAGCUAAUCCUGGUCGGACAUCAGGAGGUUAGUGCAAUGGCAUAAGCUGGCUUGACUGCGAGAGUGACGGCUCGAGCAGGUGCGAAAGCAGGUCAUAGUGAUCCGGUGGUUCUGAAUGGAAGGGCCAUCGCUCAACGGAUAAAAGGUACUCCGGGGAUAACAGGCUGAUACCGCCCAAGAGUUCAUAUCGACGGCGGUGUUUGGCACCUCGAUGUCGGCUCAUCACAUCCUGGGGCUGAAGUAGGUCCCAAGGGUAUGGCUGUUCGCCAUUUAAAGUGGUACGCGAGCUGGGUUUAGAACGUCGUGAGACAGUUCGGUCCCUAUCUGCCGUGGGCGCUGGAGAAUUGAGGGGGCUGCUCCUAGUACGAGAGGACCGGAGUGGACGCAUCACUGGUGUUCGGGUUGUCAUGCCAAUGGCACUGCCCGGUAGCUAAAUGCGGAAGAGAUAAGUGCUGAAAGCAUCUAAGCACGAAACUUGCCCCGAGAUGAGUUCUCCCUGACUCCUUGAGAGUCCUGAAGGAACGUUGAAGACGACGACGUUGAUAGGCCGGGUGUGUAAGCGCAGCGAUGCGUUGAGCUAACCGGUACUAAUGAACCGUGAGGCUUAACCUUACAACGCCGAAGCUGUU